UGGGUUUAUCUGUCUCCCCCAAUUAAAACAUGAGCCCCUUGAAGAUGGGACAGCGUUGGUCUUAUUCACCACUGUGUCUUUGGCAUCUUAAACAGUACUCAGUGCUUUCUCACCUCAGGGCCUUUGCAUCUGCUAUUCCCUCUGCCUGGAAUGAUCUUCCCGCAGACAUCCUUGUGACUCCUCUCCCUCUUCAGGUCUAUUUUCAAAUAUCACACCCGGGAUGAGGCCUCACCAUGCCGUGCACAUGGUUCGGAUCGUAUCCGCCUCUUUGCUACUCUCUAACAGGCAACACAUUUUGCCCAUUUAUCCUAUUUCCGAUUUUCCCUUUCUGAAUGCUGGUUCCAUGACAGCAGGGAUCUAUGUCUGUCUUGUUUACUGCUUGGCCCCAGGGCUCAGGACAGUGGCCAGCACACAGCAGGUGCUCAAUAAGUGUUGCUCAAAUGAAUGAAAGCAAAACCAACUGAUGGUCAUUUCACUGAGUGUUAAGUGCUGUGAAGAAAAUAAAAUGGGAAGCAACAGUUUAGGUGUACUGUGCUCUGUAAUGUAGGGACUAUUAAUGGGAACUCAGACAGUUAAGGAAACUGAGGCACAUAGAGGUCAAGUAACCUGCCCAAGGUCACAAAGCAUGUGGGUGGAGGGGCUGGGAUUCGAGCCCAGGCAAUCCUUGAUGGAAGGUUGCAGUCACAGCUGAUCCUCCUUAAUAUCCUGGUCUGAAGACCUGCUUUGCUGAUGUCUCCCAAAUCUUAGAGCCUAGAAUGGAACGGGGCUGGCCCCUCUCUUUGUAUUAGUGAUUUCACGUUCUUUGGAUAAAUACCCAGUAGUGGGAUAGCUGGAUCAUAUGGUAUUUCUAUUUUGAGUUUUUUGAGAAAUCUCCACACUGUUUUCCAUAGUGGCUGCCCCAGUUUGCAUUCCCACUGGCAGCGUAUGAGGGUUCCCUUCUCUCCACAUCCUUUCCAACGUUUGUUAUUUCUCAUCUUGUUAAUUAUAGCCAUUCUGAGGGGUGUACGGUGACAUGUCAUUGCAGUUUUGAAAAAGCAGAUUCUUAAGCUCCGCAGUCAGAGAUUCUGAGGGAAUAGGAAAAUGAUCAAAAUCAGGAAAUCCACAAACUUUAAUCACAUUUCACAUCAUCCCAUGACUGAUUUUUAUAGCAGAAGAAAAUCUCGGAUCUGCUUGCUGCCUUCAACCAUCCUCUUAAUC
This 1197-nucleotide long non-coding RNA is filed under the name Equus caballus (horse). RNAcentral's name for it is "lncRNA (ENSECAG00000043937.1)". Lineage: Eukaryota; Metazoa; Chordata; Mammalia; Perissodactyla; Equidae. The record is from RNAcentral.